GACGAACGCUGGCGGCGUGCUUAACACAUGCAAGUCGAACGAUGAAGAAAAGAAUUGAAGCUUCGGCAGAAAUUCAUUUCGGAUUAGUGGCAGACGGGUGAGUAACGCGUGAGCAACCUACCUCUUACAAAGGGAUAGCCUCGGGAAACCGGGAUUAAUACCAUAUAACAUUGCGACGAAGCAUUUCGAUGCAAUCAAAGCUACGGCGGUAAGAGAUGGGCUCGCGUCCCAUUAACCAGAUGGUGAGGUAACGGCUCACCAUAGUAACGAUGAGUAACCGGCCUGAGAGGGUGAACGGUCACACUGGAACUGAGACACGGUCCAGACUCCUACGGGAGGCAGCAGUGGGGAAUAUUGCACAAUGGAGGGAACUCUGAUGCAGCGACGCCGCGUGAGUGAUGAAGGAAUUCGUUUCGUAAAACUCUGUUCUAUGGGAAGAAAAGGACUGUACCAUAGGAGAAAGCUCCGGCUAAAUACGUG
RNAcentral lists this ribosomal RNA (480 nucleotides) under uncultured bacterium. RNAcentral's name for it is "partial 16S ribosomal RNA". It matches the Rfam family "Bacterial small subunit ribosomal RNA", at positions 28 to 507 of the family's 1533-position model. The record is from RNAcentral.